RNAcentral lists this long non-coding RNA (313 nucleotides) under Elaeis guineensis (African oil palm). RNAcentral's name for it is "long non-coding RNA (EGUI_LNC004470)". The record is from RNAcentral. Lineage: Eukaryota; Viridiplantae; Streptophyta; Magnoliopsida; Arecales; Arecaceae.
CGACAUUCGACUGAACGCGUCGGAAGAGACCCGACUACCGAACCUUUAUCCGGCGGUCGGUCGACUUCCGACUCAACGAACGCGCCCGACUCACGGUCGGGGGAAGGACGCCCGACUUACGACCUCGACCGUCGAAGGCCGAUCCAAAGUCGGGACUUGUUCUACCUUCGUGGCGGCGCGAGUUGCCGAACGUCCUAAACAACCUAUAUGAGUUGGCAACUUACGUGUUCAGAUGCAUUCUGCAACACAUGAAAGAAAGAAAGACAGGCAGAAGGAAAAAAGUUUAAGUCCAAGACUGAUUUCAUUCAAGGUC